UCAAGAAUAUUAAUCAAUGCUCGGCAGAGUGAACUAGCUAACUGGAAUCACGAAUGUGUCAUUUGUGAUAACGUAAAGGAAAAAUAAUGAUGUCACUUUACUAUUAGUGUUGUCAAAGUCUGGUGCCAGAAGACUCGGUAAGGCCAGAGACGCUAGCGGUAAUCGUCUUAAUCAGGCGUAAAGGGUUUGUAGGCGGCUUUAAAAUAUAUUACAAUCUCAUAACCAAAUGGUMAGUAAAGAAUAAAAGCUAGAAUCAGGUAGAGGAUAUGUGAGAGAAUACUUGGAGUAGGGUCGAUAUCUGUAGAUACCAAGUAGAAUAUUAAAGGCGAAAGCUCUUUUCCAAUAAUGAUUGACGCUCAGAAACGAAGGUGAGGAUCGGAAAUAGGAUUAGAUACCCGGAUAUCCCUCUCUGUCAACGAUGAAUGGUAGUUACUAGUUCAAUGAGCUAGUGGCGAGGUUAACACGUUAACCAUUCCGCCUUGUGAGUACAA
Molecule: ribosomal RNA, 491 nt
Filed under: Turbinellus flabellatus
Lineage: Eukaryota; Fungi; Basidiomycota; Agaricomycetes; Gomphales; Gomphaceae
Description: mitochondrial SSU rRNA
Rfam family: Bacterial small subunit ribosomal RNA
Source: RNAcentral